UUACGAAAAUGUUCGACUUACAUUUUAAAUUUGUUCAAUAAGUAUUUAAAUAUUGUUCAACAUAUAUCACAAAAAAUUUCAAUGUGUAUUUAGUUUUUUUUUCAGAGUAUAUAAAAAAUGCAAUGUAUAUUUUAAGCUGUUCAUCAUAUAUAAAAAAUUCACAAUAAUUAUUUGAAAUUUCAAAAUUUAUUCAUAUUUUCAAUAAUUGGUCACGUUUUCCACAAAAUGUUUAGGUUUUAAAAGUUACUCAAAUUUCUAAAUUUAUUCACGAUUUUCUAACAUUAUUCAAAUAUUUUGAGGAAAAUCGUUCACAUUUUUUCCCAAGAAUUGUUGAAAAAAAAUAAACAGAUCUAUGGCUGUACAUACUACUUUAAAUUGUACGCUGCUAUUUAGCCAUACUCAGUCGCUAGAUCUUCUCGCGCGCUUUUGUUUUUUGUUUUUGCCAGGGUAUGGACCAGGGUGAGGAGGCGUGUUCGAUUAUCCCCAUCCCAUCCUUAGUUUUCUCACACCCAAAGAACCAGUAAGCCCACACAUUUUGUUUGGCCCAUAACUACAGUUGGGCACAGAACGUGAGAAGAGGAGCGACGUACGAAGAGAUAGCAGAGACGCGAGUCCAUGUCAGCGUUCGCAGCGAUGGACGAAAAAGUAUUUCAAAAAAAAAUCAUGUUUUCAAUAGUUGUUCACAUAGUCCAAUAAUCGUUCAGGUUUUAAAACUUAUUUUAAUUUUAAAAUUUAUUCAUGAUUUUCAAACAUUAUGCAAAUAUUUAAGGAAAAGCUGUACAUACUACUUUAAUUCUAACACUGCUUAGUUGUACGAAGUUGCUAGCUCAUGGCUGGCAAUGCUGCGGGUCGGAGGUGCAACUCCAUCGAGCACACUUUUGUUUUAAGUGGUAUUUUGUUUUUCCGUCCAAAGCACCAGCAAGCCCACACGCAUCGCUUGGCCCAUAAUUGAGGUCAGCUAGUAUUGGGCCGCAGAAGGGGCUUAGAAUCUAUACUGAGGAGAGAACCAACGCUGAUUAAUAGUUGUACGUACGAGCUUCCCUCAAAAAAAAAAGUUGUACGUACGAGCUGAUCGAAGAGACGUGUUCUCAUGCUUCAAGUCAGCCUUCGCUAGCGACGGACGAAAAAAAAUUACAGUGGACAAAAAAAGUGGAAAAACAAUCAUCCUUUAAUAUUAGUAGAGAUAGAGAUAGAGAGGUAGAGAUAGAGAGUAGAGAAAUGUGUUUACAUAGGAUGUGGAGUCGUGUCCUAGUAGAACACUUUGUAUCUUAGGCUUCUCAUAUAUAACGGGGGUAGACACAUGAUGUAACAUAUGCCAACAUAAUAGCACAGACACGCAAGGGGGAGGCGGCGGCGUGUGCCGGCGCCCGGGUGGCCGGUGUGCGGUAUUGUGACGGUGUAACGGGGGAGCGCCCGUAGUCAAGCCCCGGGGAUGUAGCUACAUCGGUGAACCUCGUUAACAAAUUUCGGCGUCGUGCUCGUGUGAUUGCUUAGCCCUCGAAUGAUAAACAAUAUGCCUCGGAUUUAUUCUAAAAGUGUCCUAGGCGCGGUCGGUGAACAAGGCAAUUAGGCGGGGCCAAUUUGGAGAUUUCUCCGUCAGGCAAGCUUUUGUAUAACUGAGGCCAGGAUGGGAGUUUAGCACUAGAUACGAACAGCUUACCGAGCCAGACCAACUUUCGGGGCAGCAAUCUUGCCGGAGACGAGAAGAAACUAGGGAAGGAAAGUGGACUGUUUUCCUUAGCAUACCUUGGUGAGGAACUUUUUGAGCUGCAGCGAAGAAGAGACUUCCCCAACAUCAUAGCCUCUGGGGUCCCGGGAGAAGGAGAACCCGGCGCCGACCGGCGAGUCCACGAACAGGACACUGGCAACUUUGGUCCAUGCGUAGGGGUGGUACCGCAGCCGCGGUAUGGUGCCAUUGUAGGGCUCUCCGAUUAAUUUCAACGGACCUAGAAAUGCAGUUGACUUCACUCAAUCAAUCGAUACUCACUCCAAUAGAAGGGAACAGCAAUCAGGCAGCUAGAUCUAGAAGUGCCAGCCAAGACAGAAAUAGUAAAGUCGGCCAGUGUCGCCGUACGGGAAUCACUGACCUAUCUCGAAGAGCAACGCGCUCAGGACGCUGCAGCGGUCGCCACCGGUGAUCCAGACGAUGACCGGGUCGCUCCGUGAGUCGCCCUCCGACUCGAUGAAGUAGUAGAACAGCUCCGAGCCGUUCUGCUCGUCCACGGUCACGUACCUGCCAUGGACGAGGAGCUUGUAAACGAGUGCACUGGCAGCGCAGGAGUGUCCAAGAACGUGCGUGCCUGACCGAGGAAAAGUUGCAGCCGCAUGUUGCCCGGAAUUGUAGCAUUUUUGACCGAGGAAUACGUACCCGGUCUCAAGCCGGAACGGGAGGGGGCCAUCGAAGCCUGGAAGGCUGGCGACGAGCGUUGGAGCCGCCUCGGCGGCGAGGAAGCGGCAGCGGCGUGGCAGAGCGGAGAAGAAGCAGAGGAGGAAGAUGAGCCGCAGGGGCCGAGGCACUUGCGCCUCCAUGGUUUUCCGACGAAAACUUGCUCCCUGGCUGUUCGUACUUGCCCACUUCCAUCGGCUGCUCCACCUGACCUCUAGCCGCUGACAUUUUGUUUUUUUAUUAUUGAAGUCUGGCAGCAGAUCCACAUCACGGAUCAGAUAAAGACAUUGUACACCGCGUGCUUCGUCAGAGAGAAACGGAAAUAAAAAAACAGACUACAAAAGUCCUCACCCUUCGUGGGUCUUUUCCAGUGUUUUCCGGUACUGGAGACAGAGAGCACACCGUAGUACGCCUCGGCGCCCUGACACGCGGAAACGACACACACCCGGGGCAACAGCACGUGUCGUCUUCUUCUCGAGUAUACAACCCUCAAAGCGGCGACGCCUGGCUUGUUCCGCCGUGGAGCAGGGCAUGGUCCAUGGUGUGUGUCAGGACUCAGGACAAAGGAUCCUUCACGAUGAGUGGAGUGAAAUGCAACCGCAUCACAUUUGUUGUGAAAAGAAAAGAUCCGGACCAUGGACGAGGAGCUUGUAAACGAGUGGACCUGCAACGUAGGAGUGUCCAAGAACGUACGUGCUUGACACACGUACCCGGUCUCAAGCCGGAAGGGGAGGGGGCCAUCGAAGCCUGGGAGGCUGGCGACGAGCGUCGAAGUAGCAUCGGCGGCGAGGAAGUGACAGUGACGUGGCAGAGCGGAUAAGAAGCAGAGGAGGAAGAUGAGCCGCAGGGGGAGGGCCAUCUCCAUGAGGGGCCGAGACACUUGCGCCUCCAUGGUUUCCCGAUGAAACCUUGCUCCCCUGGCUGUUCGGACCUCCAUCGGUUGCUCCACCUGAUCGCUAGCCCCUGACUUUCUUUUAAUAGUCAAUAAAGUCUGGCAGCGGAUCUACAUCACGGAUCAUAUGCAGACGUUGUGCACCGCGUGGCAAAGAAAAAGACCUCGUGGGUCUUUUCCAGUGCUUUCCAGUGGAGACGGACAGGACUUUUUUUACUGUUUUGACAUAUGAUCAAAACUUUAGCAUAAUUUGACCUUAAUUUAAAAAAAAAUCGGAUCUGACCAUUUAGAGACGUCAGCAAGCAUGGCAGUCUUGGUUAGAUGAAAGACGCCAUACUCUGUGGCGUAUAGCCCUGGCCCGCGGUCCUUUGCAUUUGCAUGUAUCCAUACACAGCUCGCUCCCAAGCGGCUGCUAGUCCUUCAUACUCUACAUGCUUGCACACGCAUACAUGUGUAAUACUCCCUUCGUUUUUAAAUAUAAGUUUUUCAGAUAUUUUAAAUGGACUACAACAUAUGAAUAUAUGUAAAUAUAUUUUAGAGUGUAGAUUCAUUCGUUUUGUUCCAAUAUGUAGUCACAUGUUGAAAUUUUUAAAAAAACUUAUAUUUAGAAACGAAGGGGUACUAUGCCUCCAUAUACGCGCGCCCGCCUAGCUCUUUUCUGGUUCUAGCUUAGCCUAGCACAGUACUAGCGUGUGAGGCCGGCCGGAAUCGAUCCAUCAACCUAAGCCUCGUUUAAUGUCGUCCCGCUGGUGCGCUUCACCAUAAGCUGUGAGAGAGUGCAUAUCGUCCAGCCGGGCUCCCCAAAGAUCUGGUCAUAAAAUUGUGACCAACGACAUCCUUUAUAUCGGUCGUCCGGGCUGACCGACCCGCUUAGUAGCUUAAAUCUGGAUGGACAUGACAUAAGAAAGAUCCGGACGAGUCGGAUCCGACACACCCUAACCAUUCAAUCCCGUAUAUAUUCGUCUCCAUCCGUAAUAAAACGCAUCCAGCUCCAUCAAGUCCAUGUUUGAAUUUCAUAUAAACACGCCGGAUUUCGUAUAGACAUUGACAGAUUUCAUUACAGAUACAUCAAAAUGAUACUAGACGGGCUUUGGAGUAUAAUUAAUACCUAAUCUAAAUGAUCGCCGGCGUCCGGUCCCGUGGCAGGCCAUCAGCUCCAAGAGCCCGUCUCCAGUUCGGCCUCGGCACUCUCCAGCUCCGCCUCCGUAACCUCCACCUCCGGAGCCCCAGGAACAGAAAUUGUCCGCCUCCACGUCACCGUCAAGCGACUAAUCGGCCGAACAUGCUCAACCUACCAAGCUUGACGUCGGCGGGAGGGGAGGAGCGGUGGACUUCCUGGGACACGAGAGGCAGCGAUCUACCAUGCACUACUCUUCCUCCUUGCCGGCGGCGCCCGCGGACAUGUCGGCUUCUUCGUGGUCGUGGCGCCGGGGCGCGGCCUCCUCAUCGUCGGUGUUGACGAACGAUGCCUCGUUGCCUCGUCGUUGCAUUCCUUGCCAGCGGCGGCCACCUCCGCACCCGCUGUCGGUAUCGCCAGCGGGCGAGGCGAACCUCUCAGGCGGAGUGGUAGGAUUCGAGCAGCGCCUCCUGCUUCGCCAGGUCCGCGCCCAUCGGCAACUUGCUCCUCCGCCCGCAGAUGCUCCUGAAGGAGCUUGUCGUUGUAGUUGGUGUCAGCAUGUGCCUUCCGAAACUGGUCCUUCCACUCCUCCCACACCACGCCAUAUAAUGGGCACGAGCCUCUCCAAUGGUCAUGGUGCAAUGCACCGGUGAGGAUGGAGCGGAGGAGGAGGGUGCCGGGGAGGAAGAAGAGGAUGGCGCCAGCUCGUCGUCGGAGGCGUCCUACGGUUACCUGCCGGCUUGCCAGUUGGCAGCAAUGGUGGCCAUGGCCUUCUUCUGCUCCGAUGUCAGCCUGUCCCAAAGAGCUUUGGCUGCGGAGAGAUCCAUGGCGGGGAGUGGUGAAGAGAGGGAUGACUGUGGCUAUGGCUGGGGCACUGGGGCAGCGGUUUAUAUAGCACCGGUGGGUGGCAGAAGGACGGACGAGUGGCAUCGGAGGAGAUGCCUCGGCAAUCGUGUGCAAUCAAUAUGGGCGAUAGAAAGACGGACGGGCGGCUGUCGUGUCAUUUGAAUGAGCAACAAUCGCCUGCACGGGGAAGUGGUGCGGGCAGCGCUCUCUCGAACAGCGCACCACUUCAUUGCCGGUGCCAAGUAGCGGUCGCGCCCGCUCUGGUCGGGCAUGAAUGCGAGCGAUGACGCUCUGGAGCGGCGCUGACAGAAAACGCGCGGGAGAGGGAGGGAUUUUUGUGGGCCUGGACGAUCAGAAGUGGGCUUGGGAUCGAUCUGAAUUCUCCAAAUUUCCCCACUUUUGUCUUCAGUUUGUGGGAGAAAUUACGUCCGGAUCAUCCUACAGACCGAUACAAGUCGGCAUUGGGUGGCUUCCGUGGUCCAGACCAUGCGGUUGAGACGGUUGCGGGAGAUUUACGGUGCGCAUUAGAGCCCUUAUAAUGUGCGUCAGCGGCAAGUCCAACCAACGCAACAAAUUUUGGUGUAGUGCACACUAGCCCACCCAUGGACGAUGAGACGCCGCGUUCUUUACCUCCCUCUUUUAUUCAAUCAUCAUCAAAUCAAUCACUCAAACUAUCUCGGCCGGCCAGUUGCGCCGCUGGUUCCCUAUCUCUCUGUCGGCCGCUCCGGCGGCAGGAGGGAGGGGGAACCUCGGGUCUAUCCGCUAGGUGGGUGUGUGGUAGGGCUAGGGUUGAGGGUGACGAUGCUGAGGCCGUUGCGGUGGUGUCGCGUCGGAAUAAGUUUCUCCGGGCUCCGUUCGCGGUCAGGCAAGGCUUUUGCCUUCGUCUAGGAGCCAGCGGGGUGGGGGAUCCGUGGAUCUCGUCGAGGUCGCGGGGUAUGGUGGCUGGAGGUCCAUCGGCACUGGCCGUUUGGGUCCUCAGAUGGGUGAUGGAUGCAGGGAGACGAAGACGCUUCUUCUUCCUUGUUGGUAUGAUUUGCUGCUGUUGUUCUUCUCCUUCCUCUGCGUUGAUGCUGGAGAGAGAUCCUGUUUUGCCCGGGUAGAUGGCCCGGUCGCGGUGCUGAACCGGUCGGAUGACUCGAGUUCUCUUCCUUCCGGAAGGGACAUUUUUCGCGGUACUUAAAGCCAAAGAUGGCGACGGCUGUUGCAGGUGUGUUGAAUUGAUGUCCAUGCCCUCUCAGCGCUGGUGUCAAGAAAGGAGGAAGCAGCAUGGCGGCAAUUGUACCGUGGUCGAAGAUGAUGACCUGCUUGCGCUUGGUUGCAGAUCCUUCUGCUGCAGGGGUCUUCUCUCAAGAUUCAGGGAUGAUGUCACAGGGCUCCAGAGAUCUUAUUGUGAUAUGGUUGGCUUAGGAUAUCCUAGGUGUUUAUGGUCCUUUGUGUUUGCGUUUCAGUGUGGUUUGUACUGUUUCAUGAUUUGAAUAAAAAAAUUCUCAAAAAAAAAAAAGAAAACUAUCUCGGCCGAGUUGUGCACCCGUGCUAUUCUUUCCGUGCGCAUGUAUGCUGGAGACCUCGGAGCAGACGCCGCAGACUAUGACGUCUCCCUUCUAAUCAAGACGCCAUGAUUGUUGGCGUUUCGAUAUGGGUCAUAUGUGAAAAAAGUUUCAAACUAAGGUCAUAUGGUGCUAAAGUUUUGAUAGUGGGUCAAAACGGUAAAAAAGUCCUGGCCUAUGGGUACAGAGGGCAAUCAAAAAGUCAAAUAGGGGGAGAUAGAGUAUACUCCCUCAUUUUUUUUUAGUUUGCAUAUAAGAUUUGAUCAAAAUCAAACUUUGUAAAAUUUGACUAGCUUUGUAGAAAAAGAUAUCAACAUCCACACUAUGAAAUCAAGAAUAUUAGAUGCAUUAUAAAAUUAAUUUUCAUAGCAUAUAACCUUAGUAUUGUAGAUGUUAAUAUAUUUUUUAUAAAGUUAGUCAAAGUUUAUAAAGUUUGACUUUGACUAAAUUUUAUAUACGGACUAAAAAGAAACGAAGGAAGUACAUGUCCCUGACCACUAGCCCAUUAAAAAACACGGCCAGCCAUUACAAACACAUGUGCCGGCCUAUGGGCACAGCGCUGCACUGUGUAUACACUCUGUUCUACUUAAAAAAACAUAUAGACUAUUUGCGCCUAUGUAUAACAUCGGCACAUCCAGCUGCUACGUAGACACUGAAAUUAAAAUUAGGAAAUUUGAUCGGUACGCCGGUGAUAGACAAAAAAUGAUACAUGUAUAGUUUUAAGAAAAUAUUGGUACAAUUGCUUAGUACUCUCUGUAACCUUUUAUUAGACAUUUUUAGAGUCCAUGACAGUGUCAAAAAAUAUUAUACUAAGUUAUAGAGGUUUUACCUAGAUAAAAAAAUGAAGCACAACUGCUAUCUUAGCCCCAAUUAAUUUUUCACUUUACGAAAAAUCCAUUUUUUCCUAUAAACAUACACAUACAUAAGAUGUAGUCAAAAAUACAUGCUCGAGGUCAGCCCAGUGUGUGGGCCCAUGAUGUUUAAAAGUGCAUGCAUGGGUGUCAUGCCGAUAUGAGCAUGUAUACAUAUCGGUAGGUUUCCCAAAGAAACAAAACUGCUAGGCGUCAACCGACUAAUUUUGAGGAAAAUCAGUCGGCUCAACAGUCGUCCAAUCUAACACAGUUAGUGUGGAUCACAACGCAGCUCGGGUUGACCCGUUGUCCCCUGUAGCGCUGCAGCCUUGGUCACUCGUCGCCAGCACACCUCAUCCUCCGUCUCGUGUAGCCACGCCGGCCACGAACCAUCGCCGCCUUACAGCAGCCCCCACAAAGCAACAGCUCGUCCCCUAGAAACACAUAUGGUUGCCGCGACCACACCCGCCGGCGAGACCUGCUGGUUGUAGCACCACACACACGCUGUAUUUCAGCAUCCGCAUCGAACGACACCCGGAUCGCAGCACUAGGUGCACAACAUUGCAGCUUCGUCGGCGACAACACCUGGGUCGCAGCACCAUGCAUGCUGCUUUGCAGCUCCGCCGGCGACGAGACCCGGGUCACAGCACGACGGGCGUUGCAUUGCAACUCCGCCACCGGCGAGAUCCGGGUAGCAACAGCAGUAGUGUUACAUUGCAGCUCCGCCGGCGACGAGAUCACAGCUCGUCUACGUUGUAUAGAAGCAACCCGCCGGCAACGAGAUCCAGGUCAUAGCAACAGAGCCCGUUGCAUUGCAGUUGCGCCGACCACGAGAUCCGCAUGAAGUAGCAUCACAUGUGUUGCAUAGAAGCAACCUGUCGCCGGCAAGAUCCGCGGUUGCAGCUGUUGGCACCUGUUGGAUGCUGUGUUGGUGGUGUUCUUGCAUCUAGAGAAAUAGAGAAGCGGGGUGGAAGAGAGACAAAGGUGGUUGCAGCAGUAGCGUAUGCGAUGGUGUCAUGCUUGAAGCAGCUGUCGGCAGCCUGACGCCAAGCGUGGUGAGUCACAGCUUUACGGUGGUGGCGCCUGUAACGAGAAAACCACAAGAGAGAGAGGGUGAAAGAGAUAAGAUGGAGGGAUGAGGAAGGAAAAUAAAUCAGGGGAGAUGGGAAGGCCCGUGACGCUUCUGGAGAGGGAGACGUGGGCCACAUGCCACAUGGAGAGCGAUGAACGCGGCUUAAAAGUCUGUGAGAUUAGUCGGUCUAAAAAGAACAUUUCCCAGAAACAAAUCCGUAAAGGAUCCACUUGAUAAACUGAUUGGCCUCAGCUGAAAAUAUCUUUAUAAAUAAAUUAGCUUUUGAUUUAUAGAUAAAACUAUAUGUAUAGAUGAUGGUAUACAAUAAGGAUAAGAAAAAUUAUAUUUUUAUUAUUUUUGGGUGAGAUCAUUGAUGAUGUCAUUAGAUGUAGUAUUGUGAUCGGACUUGUUUUUUGCUGGCCGCUCGGAUUGUUCAUAGUUCGUAGUCGUGUCUUUUUUUACAUGGCCGUGACUCAUUUAGGGCAUGUACAAUGGUUGAUAAGGUAGUCUUAUCUUAAGUCUUGCAUGUGAUUUAGAGAUGACAAAAAAAGAUGUAUACAAUGGAUCAUCUUUUAGCCUUGUAUCUUCAAUAAUUGGCUAUUCCUAAAAACAUGAUGAGAUAUAUUGUGCUAAGAGAUCAUCUCUUAUCUUCUCUUAAAUAAGAGAAGACAAUCAUUUUCUUAUAAUUUCUCUCUCCUCCACCUCAUCAUUUAUCCUAUGUGGCAUUGCUAAGAUAAAACCAUUGUACAUGCCCUUAGCUGUUUGGCAGCUGUGUUUUUUUCACGGGAGCUGUUAAACCUUGGUUUAUAGUACUACAAUCCUAACGUACUUUUUGAGGAAAAAAAUAUGACUUGUAUGAAAGAUGUGCCGAACUAUUAUAUGUAUGGGCAUUAAGGAAUCUGGCCACAUGUUUUGUAUGGUGCCUACGUGUGGGCAAAACAACUAGCGCUUACACACCUCUUUUUUUCCUCGCGGCCCCUCUCACACGCCUACGUGUGGGCAAAAUGGAUAACGCCCACACGACCUCUCUCAGUCACUUACCUCAUGGUCCCGCACGCCCCGCGUGACGAUCACCACGUGUCCCUGCAGUUGCCAUGGUCCAGACCUUCUCCAAUGUUCGUUUAACUGCAGUUGCCAUGUCGCUGAUCUACGGUUGCCAUGUCGGACAACUACAGUUGCCAUGGUUGUUCAACUGCAGUUGCCAUCUCAGGUCAAGUGACAGAUGCCAUUUUGGACAACUGCAGUUGUUGCCAUGUAUGAUCUGAUUUACUAUAGUUGCCAUGAUUUGAAAACUUUAGGGGUUGCCACCUACUAACACUAGGCAGUUGCCAUGUAUGAUCUGGUUUACUACAGUUGUCAUGAUAUGAAAAUCUUAGGAGUUGCCACUUACUAACACUAAGCAGUUACCGUGUAGAGCUACAAAAAGACAUGGCAAAAUAACAUGUUCGGGUAAAGAGAAAGUUGCCAUCUGCUUACAUGCACACUAGGACAGUUGCCGUGUAUCCUGCAAAACACAUGGCAACUGACAUGUUCGGAUAAAAAAGAGAGAGUUACCAUCUCCUUACAAGCACACUAAGGCAGUUGCCAUGUACACUGUAAAACACAUGAGAACUGGCAGCUUUGGGUGUGGGCGAGGAGACGGGCGUGUGGGCGACAUGGCAAAUGCCCAUACACCAGCCCUUGUGUGUGUGUGAGUGAAAACAGACGUGUGGGCGAACUGCUAAACGCCCACACACUGGGGCCCCCGUGUGGUGAAACGGACGUGUGAGCGACCAAAUAAAUGCCCACACACCAGCCCAGUUCUACGUGACACCAUAAACAUGCCAAGAUUCAUGCAACCACAAACGGACGUGGAUCCACGCGUGUGAGCGAGAUGCAAACGCCCACACGUGUGGGCGUUAGUAUUUCCGGAAAAUAUAUGUUUUGUCUUGUAGGUCUCCUUCUCUUGUACAUCUCCUUGUCCCACACAUGAUUGUGCUUUGCACCUUUCCAUCAUAAUAGAUGCACAUGGCAAAUUCUUAUCCUAUUAGAUUUCUUUUUGCAUCGCUUCUCCUAUUACACGCCUCCUUGUCGCCCUACACGUGAUUGUACUCCUUAGCACCUUUCCAUCAUAAUACACGUAUGUGGAGAGAGAAUAAAGCUGAUCUGGAACGAAGCCUUUGUACGGCCCCCGCGUCGCUCCCGCAGGGGCGACUCGGGCGGCUCAAACCCUAGCCGCCGCCGGGGCUCCCUCCCCCAUUCUCCUCCCCCUCGUCGCCGUCGGAGGUGGUCACCGGAACGUCACGCGACCGCUGGGGAUGGUGGCGGCGAGGAUCUAGUCGCUCCGCCCCGGUGGAGGAUCUCGGAGCAGAGGUGGCGACCUGUGGUGGUGGACCUGCGCCGUCCUCAGCUAGCGGCGCCAGCGGGUGCUGCCGUCCACUUCGGUCGUGUGGGCGGCGGGGUGACGGCCGGCGAUGGCCGUGGUGCACGGUGGCCUCGAGGGGACCCGCAUCAGAUCUGAUGGCGCCUUCCUUUCUGUGACGUCCCCGAUUCAAUCUUAUACUAAUCAUACACGCAAAUGUGUACGAUCAAGAUCAGAGACUCACGGGAAGAUAUCACAACACAACUCUAGACACAAAACAAAAUAAUACAAGCUUUAUAUUACAAGCCAGGGGCCUCGAGGGCUUGAAUACAUAGCUCAAUACACAAGAGAGUCAGCGGAAGUGACAAUAUCUGAGUACAGACAUAAGUUAAACAAGGAUGCCUUAAGAAGGAUAGCACAAAAGCAACACGAUUGAAGAGGCAAGGCCUCCUGCCUGGGACCUCCUAACUACUCCUGGUCGUCGGUGGUCUCCACGUAGUAAUAUCCGUCGGUGGUGGCAUCUAGCUCCAGGGAGCCACCAUCUGGUUGCAUCAACCGGAAAGAAGAAAGAAGGGGGAAAAGGGGUAGGAAAGCAACCGUGAGUACUCAUCCAAAAUACUCGCAAGCAUCAGAUCUAUACUAAGUAUGCACUGGUAUCAAAUGGAAGGUUUGUAUCUGUGGACUGAACUGCAGAAUGCGAAAAUAGAGGGGAAGGCCUAGCCUAUCGAAGACUAGCAUCUUCAAGCAGCUCCAAGCAUCUUGCAGCAUGUAGAAGAGUAAAGAAUAGCAGUUUAAUAUUUAACAAGCAUGUUGUAACAUUAAUGCCCAGAGAUCCUUCCUCGGCUCCCUGCGAGAAAGCAAUCCCGGAGCCACAUAUUCAAGUAUCCAUUCGUAGUUGUAUAAGAUUAGGAUAUAAGUCUGAACGUCUGUUACCGUGGACAGGGCUAUUAAUAGAUAAACUUCCCUACAAGGGUGCACCACGUUUUCCAACAUGCUUGAUUACUCUGGCCGGACACACCUUUCCGGGUCAAUGCCCAGCCUCGGAAGAUCAACACGUCGCAGCCCUACCUAGGCUCAGUAGAGAGGUCCGCACCGGUCUACCUCCUAAGCACUCCGGGGUCUGGGCCCAUCGCCCAUUGCACUCCAGGUCGUUGCUUAUAGGGCGGGUCCAGGCUCCACCACUACAGGAUGGUGCCAGCCCAGCCGUGCCCGACUGCUGAACUGGACAUCUGACAAAGUUUCGGCUGAUACCACGACGCCGAGGCCCAUAACUAUUCUCACGUGGUGGUUGGUGCAUAAAGGCCAAAGGCCAACUCAGAACAAAUACCCAAACCAUAGUGUAUUAUUAGCUUGCGGAGACGAGCAGAGAUUCAUGAUCGAAAGUGAUCCCGUCGCCCCAUCUCGUGGACUUACGACAAGGGCUCAGAAUGCCCGGCCGUGCCACGUCAUUAUCUUGCGGGUGCUCUCCGGGCCCGCCCGACUUUCACCAAGGUCUCAAGUAAAGCCAAUGUAACCAUGUGUCCAAACAUCAAGGGGAAAACCCGAGGAAUCACCCCUGAUGGAUUCCACUCAAUGUAAUCAUCAAGGUGAACGUAAGAGGGACCACCCUCGAGGUUCACACUUGAGGUGUUGAACAAUAGAGCCGUAUCGGGAAUGAUGAAAGAGGAAAUCACCCUCGAUGACCACGACCGAAUAGCUACACUACAGAAUUAUCAUCAGGAGUGCGUUAUGAGGGAUGACCCUCGGCACUCGAUAGUAGCUCCGCAGAGUCGAGCAACAAAAGGGGCGUGAUGUGAUGUGAGGUGUCGGGCUUUGGUCGUCGAUCACGCUGAUCGAGUCGUCGAUGAUGAAGCAGGGGCAACAAGGACAAGGUGGGGGUCACUGAUGGAUCACUAGUCAACCUAUACUAAGCAGUUUAGGAUAAGCAGGUAGGUAACAAUAGCAGGUACAAAAGCAGGCUAUGCAUCAGAAUAGGAGCAAACAAUAACAGUAGCAAAAUCUAAUGCAAGCAUGAGAGUAUAGAAUGGCCGAUAUCAGGAUGAUCAAAGGGGGGGCUUGCCUGGUUGCUCAGGCGAGAAGGAGGGGUCAUCGUCGACGUAGUCAAUCACAGGGGCAUCAGCAGCAGUCUUGGGGUCUACCGAAGAGAAGAGGGGGGAGAAAACAGUAAAUACAUAACAAGCAAGAGCAUAACAGGACAACAUGCAGAGCUAGACGUGUUCUAACGCGGUGAUACACAAUACCGGCGAAGGGUGAUAACUGAUACGUCCAUUUUGCAUCAUGCUUUUAUAUCAAUAUUUAUUGCAUUAUGGGCUGUUAUUUCAUGUUAUGUCACAAUACUUAUGGCUAUUCUCUCUUAUUUUACAAGGUUUACAUGAAGAGGAAGAAUGCCGGCAGCUGGAAUUCUGGGCUGGAAAAGGAGCAAAUAU
This 13478-nucleotide long non-coding RNA is filed under the name Triticum aestivum (bread wheat). RNAcentral describes it as "long non-coding RNA (TAES_LNC002873)". Lineage: Eukaryota; Viridiplantae; Streptophyta; Magnoliopsida; Poales; Poaceae. The record is from RNAcentral.